UUGGUUAACUGCCUACCUAGGAGGUGUCUUUCUUCCAGUUUCCCGGCCUUCCUUGGCAUGCCUGACUUCUGAUCAAGACCCCUGACCUACCAGUGACUUUCCAAAGUGGCUUCUACAACCUACCCACCUUCCUGAUGGUUCACUUACUGCUGCAGGGGAAGCUCUGCGCCCUGGAAACCCUAAUCCCCGCUCCCACCCCAGCACACAGUGCAGUGACUUUGCACACUUCUUGUCUGUCUGUCCUCUUGCACGCUCUAGAGGCUCUUGCCCACCAUCAUUUGAAGGUAUGUGUUGGAUGGGGUGGUAGGAUGAGGUAGGUGAAUUCUUGCCCUCUGGAUAGAAGAGAAUCACUUAUUGACCAAAGCUGGUUCUCAGAAGCUGGGGGGUUCAUCUUGGGGAUUAGCCUUGGAAUAGUCAGUCUUUCUUUUUACAGAAGCCAGAGGGAGACCUGGAGGGGAUGUGUACUUCAGUCCUAAUGGCGCUGGGGUCCCAGUCUCCAGGAAUGGUCAUUGUCAAGCUGUGGGACAGAUUGCAUCUGCACGACCUGCCCCCAAGGAGCCUCCUGGUCGCCGUGGGGAAACAGCCUCGGCCAGGGAAGACUUUUUCACAGGAAGACUGGGCUUGUGUUUUAGUCUGCUGUCUGUGCAGUGCCCUGGGAGUGGAGGCCUGGCAUGAGCUGUCUUUCUAACUGUUACACGCCCAUGAAGUUCAGGAAUGCCAGCCCUCUUGGCCACCAAGCCAGAUCCCAGAGGUUGUGGUGCCUGAUGUGGGGAACCAACCCCUCGCUCCUUCAGGAGAAGCACCUCUCUGGCAACAUGAUCAUCUGUGUAAAAUAUGAAAUACUUAGGAACAAAUCUGAAGAGAAGAUAGGAGACACAUGUACAUUGGUGACUACCAAUCAUUGCUGAGAUAAAUUAAAGAAGACCUAAAUAAAUGGAAAUACAUGUAGUAUUCAUGGAUCAGAAGAUUCAAUAUGGAUAAGAUAUCAGUUCUUCCCAAGUUGAUCUAUAGAUUCAAUGCAAUCCUAAUCAAAAUUCCAGCAGGAUUUUUUUAAAAUAUAGGAAUUAACAAGCUGAUUCUAGAAUUCAUAUGGAAAUGGAAAUGCAAAAGACCCAACAUACCCAAAACAGUUUAGAAAAAGAAGAAAGACAUGAAACCACAACAAUGAAGACAAUGUGAUAUUGGCAUCAAGAAAGACAAAUGGAUCAAUGGAACUGAAUAGAGAAUCCAGAGAUAGAUGUAGCUACACAUGUACUGUCAACUGAUUUUUGGCAAAGGUGAAAAGACAGUUCUUUGGAGAAAGGUUAGUCUCUUUCAACAAAUGGUGCUGGACCAUUUGGAUGUCUACACAUGAAAGGAUGCACUUCAAUCCAUACCUCACACCAUGUACAAAAAUUAACUCAAAAUGAAUCAUACUUAAAUGUAAACCCUAAAACUAUCAAAGUUCUACUAGUGGCAGGGCAGGAAUAAAGACGCAGACAUAGAGAACGGAC
Long non-coding RNA from Lagenorhynchus albirostris (white-beaked dolphin), 1493 nucleotides. RefSeq lists it as uncharacterized. Lineage: Eukaryota; Metazoa; Chordata; Mammalia; Artiodactyla; Delphinidae. The record is from RefSeq and is a predicted model, not a curated record. The transcript has 4 exons.